Molecule: non-coding RNA, 378 nt
Organism: Pelobates cultripes (western spadefoot toad)
Lineage: Eukaryota; Metazoa; Chordata; Amphibia; Anura; Pelobatidae
Source: the annotation of a GenBank genome assembly
GUCAGUGUGCAUGUGAGUGUCUGUCAAUGAAUGAGUGUGUCAGAUAAGUGAGUCUGGCUGUCAGAGAUGUCUGUGUGUUUGUCAUUGAGCGUGUGUGACUGUCAGUGUUUAUACACCCCUGACUGUAGCGUGGCCAAGCGGAGUGUACCGUGGUACAGAAACUUCUGUUUCCUGUACCUGGCAGGACUGACAGGAAAAGCUCACUGUACCAGGAUUCGCUCCGCUCAGCCACGCUACAAGAAAGGUAGGAGGCACACCAGGAAGGGGAGGGGACCACUAUGGGGGUGGGUGGCGCACCAAGGGACAUGGAGAAGAGGGGAGAGAUACCCUAAGGUACAGGAAAAGGAGGGAGGGGGGAGAGGAACACUAAGCGACUGG